RNAcentral lists this ribosomal RNA (253 nucleotides) under uncultured bacterium. RNAcentral's name for it is "partial 16S ribosomal RNA". It matches the Rfam family "Bacterial small subunit ribosomal RNA", at positions 524 to 776 of the family's 1533-position model. The record is from RNAcentral.
UACAGAGGUCUCAACCGUUGUUCGGAUUCAUUGGGCGUAAAGGGCGCGUAGGCGGCCUUCUAAGUCGAACGUGAAAUCCCCGGGCUCAACCCGGGAACUGCGUCCGAUACUGGAAGGCUUGAAUCCGGGAGAGGGAUGCGGAAUUCCAGGUGUAGCGGUGAAAUGCGUAGAUACCUGGAGGAACACCGGUGGCGAAGGCGGCAUCCUGGACCGGCAUUGACGCUGAGGCGCGAAAGCCAGGGGAGCAAACGGG